GGAGGUUAGGUUUCAACAUAUGAAUGUUGAGAGGAAACAAACAUUCUGAACAUAGCAAACACCUUGGACUCACUCCACCCUCAGUAAUUGUUCACUGAAUGAAUGGAUUUCACUGGAAGACUGGAAGAUAGUCCUGUUUUCCCCAUUCUCUUUCUCUGAUCAUAAUUCUUCUCUGGUCCCCUUGUCACACGAGAUCCUCUCCCACCUUUAAUCAUGUGUGAAUUGUCCUUGUGCAAGCAGAGUGGAAGGUUUUAAGGAGCAAUCAAAGAUGAAUCAUAUGGAAUCAUGCUGGAAGGAGCUAAGAACUUUACUGGGGGAGAUGAGACAUGCAUAAAUGACCAAGGAAGCUAAAAAAAAAAAAAAAAGAGAAGAAGAAGAAAGCUAAAGGUGUAGUGACAUGGAAGUUCACAGGAGUGGCAGAUGUUUGCAGUUGAAUUUGCCUGGGAGGAGGCAUAGCACCUACCCAGGCUGUGCUGGCUCCUCUCUAAUUUGUAGUGUUAAUACCUCACUUCUGUUUAUGCUUUUGUUUUUGCUUUCAAUAUUCUACCAGCAGACUGGGAAAUCAGGAAACAGUUUAUGAUGGUUUACCCCACAGCUGUUCAGAGCUCCUAUGUUUGUCAUAGCAGGUAUGUGUAGAACCAUUAAAAAAAAAAUCUGUUUCAAAGAGCAAAUAUUAUCCAGAAAUAUUUGGAAAGGAUCUCUAUAUAGUGUUUCUUAAUGUUUUAAUGUUUCAAAGAUCUCUAAAAGAUAGAAUUGACUUAACAGAGUUCUAGUCUACUUGUGAGGCUAUAUAUAUGUAUGUAUGAUGUUUCUCAACUUUUUAAAAUACAUUGCCCUUGGUGAUAAACAUUACAGCCACCCACCCCACCCCCCAGCCUGCUCUGCUCUGUGGAGAAUCACCAGUUUAUGAUUAUUAAGCAUCCAUAAGACCAAAAGAGUUGUAGCACUCUCUUUAAGUGGCACCCCUCUAAAUCAAUAAAUACAAACACACAAGAUGAUUGAGGCUACAGAUCAGUUUUUAUUAGUAAAACAUAUUUAAAACACCUCGAUCACUUUUUAAAAAUGCGACUCUUACUUUCUUGGAUAUUCUGUUUGAAAAACCAUGAACAUUGAAUUUUCCUGAAGGAAGCAAUUUAAAAUAAAAUGUAAAAUGUUGACAACUGUGGAUAUGCACAUAUGAGGUUAUUAAUUUAAACAAUACCUUUCUUUGUACUUUUACUACAAACUGCACAAUCUUAACAUACUAAUUACAGAUUAAAUUUAAUGCCCCAGGCUUCUCCGUAUUCCAUAAACUCACCUCCCUUCUGUCCAACAAGAUUAUCUUCUCCCAAAGGAUUCUCAAUAGCUGGCCUCAGUAGGGUGCUGGCACACAAUAUUCAAAAAACACGACAAACAAAAAGCAAAACCAAACAAAACACCUGGGGCAGCUAAAGUUCCCAUUUACUUAAUCAGGGAUAUCUCAAAGUGCUUUAUUUAAAAUAAACUACAUCUUUGAGUGCCUCAUGGGAAAUUUAUUUAAAUAACCAAAAGAGUCCUCUGUUUUUGACCAGAUUAGUAGAUGACUAAUUUUUAAAACCUGUUAUAUAGUUAAACAAGGUCCAAUCUGUUAGGACACCUCAGAUACUUUUCUAUUCCAUAAAGCACAGCUUCACACCCCAAAGUAUUUGGGAGUUCCGCCGACAGCUCCACAGCAACACAGCGGGUCUCUAUUCCCUGAAUCUCCCAACCAUCUCAUGCCAAGAGAUGUUGGGACAAAGGCCAGACAUGAGAAUUGGACAAAUCCGCGAAGACAAAGGGCGCUGCUGACCACCAGCGCACGCGGCCCGCCCGGGCAGAGGCAGCAGGGGCCGCGCCGCUCACAUGAGCUUUCACACGUAGGCGGGCGCCGGGAGCAGCAGCCCCACGGGCCGAACCCGGCCUCGGAGCCGGGGGCGGGGGCGGGGGCUGGGGCUGCGGUGCUGCGCCCGAGCACGUACCGGGGCGGGGCCUGCAGCGCGGCGGGCGGGGCUUGGGCAAGUUUUUCCCAGCGGCUUGUGUUUCGCAUCCUUAUCAUGUAGUACCGGCGGCACCAGGCACAGAAGGGGUGACCGGUCCCUUCCGCAUCCUUGUUAUUUCCCCGCUGAGGGGUCUGUCUGAUCAGUGCUGCUCUCAGGCACCUGUCUUUUCUCUCCGUCCCGGAUCAUGGAGCCGAGACAAGGGAAUAAAAGAAAUUAAAUAGUACAAGGAGAUCGGGUGUCUGGGCAGCGUCUUGGAUAAAACCGUCCACUACAGUUCACAGCAAAUACAAAGUAUGAAAUGAACAAACAGAAGAGGGCUCCUACUGGCAAGGUUAAAAAUGGUCACAGAAUGUAGUGAGAGUUGGUGAACAUGAAAGAUCUCCAGAGUACGAAUGAGCGUAGACUCGAGCCCAUCUACCUGAGCUUAACCUACACUCUGCCAUUUAUGAACCAAGUAAUCUUGGGCUAUUACACUUUUGUAAAACAACUCACCAGCAUCCAGAAGUUUCCUUACACGCAAAUAGCUGAUGGUAAGCCUCAUAACAGAAGCCUUAUCAAGAUGCGAGCUCACAUUAUGGGGAAGUGGCAACUGAUGAGCAAGCUCAUAAAAAACUUCGGACUCUUUACUUCUCCGAGAUCUAGCUGCAUCUCUAGACUUUUCUUUUCUACGUUCAGAACUUAUCCUAUUUAACAAAAGAGGAGGAGGAAGAGAGAAAAAGAGAAAAUUUAUAUGUUAGUUUGCCUUUGCUUGGAUAACACUAUAUAUUUUUCUGCUUUUCAUGGAAUAAUUUAAAGAUGCCAUGUAAAUCAAAUUAUACAGAGAUUUGUCUAUUACAUGAAUGUAUAAGUAAGAAUGUAAAAUACAGCUACAAAAAUUUUUGGAUUACUGAAGACAUAAGGAACUCACAAGAAGUCCAAGAUGAAGCUUUAAACCUUUCUGAAACAGGUAUUUCCUCCCUGGAAUAUCAAAUUGGAGAGGAUGUUUUUGUUUUAACCAAAAUCUUAAAAGUAGCCCGCGUAUCUAAGGCUAUACCCUCACAGCCAUUCAGAAGUAGUCUCAACAUAAAAAAAAAAAAAAAAAAAAAUCACCAUUAAGUCUAGAGAAACUAAAGCUGUACAUAUUAACUUGAAAACAGGAAGUUGUUAAGCAGGCAGACUACAGACUGCAGCUAAAACUGAUUUUUGACUCAAGUUUCUUUUGACUCCAAUAUUUUCCCAUCCUCUACCCUACCACAUGAGCAAUACUGACUGUAAGUUAUAGAUACUUAUAUUAGCCGCUAUAAUAAGUUACCAUUUUCAGGUUGCUUCUUCCCUUAGCACCCCUUAAUCUAUUACUGGCACAACAGGUACCAAAUAAAGGCAGGAGUAAUAGAAGAAGAAAAGAUGUGGCACAACAGUAAGAAUUGAAAGAAACAGGUUAAUAAAGAUUAAUAAAGGUGUCAAAACAAUGACAUAUCUUUAGGGAACUCUCCCAAGAAUAAAGUCAGUCAGAAAGAUUUUCCUAAGUCACACCAAGCAGAGACAUUUUCCUCUGCUUAACUGUAGCAACAUCUAUUCCUCCUAACCCAGCUGGAGGUAAACAAGGCUAAACCUGGUUCUGUCCUUAUCUUCCUCUUUAAUAGCUAUUUUUUAUUAAAACCUACUAUGUGUCAAAUGCUACCCUGUACCAGGUAACUAGUUUUCUCAUAAAUUGCAAAUAGGUUAAAUAUUAUCCCUUUUUACAGAGGAGGUUAUAUAGUGUUAAAAACAGCCAUUAUGUAGCGGACGGGAUUUGAACACAGUUGUUUUUUUUACUCCUAAGUCUUUGCUCUUCCACAGUUGUUUUAAGAAUGCUGUUUCUACCUCAAAUACUCGGCUGCUGUCCUAUGACCCUCAACCUAAUUCUGUUAAGUCAAUUAUUUAUUAAAUGUUGAAAAAACGCAUUACCAUUUAUUGAGCACUUAGCAAGCAGUAUGGUAAGGACUUUGCCAGCAUUAUUUCACUUAAUCCUCCUUAUAUCCUAUGAAUAAAGCAUAAUUAUAUCUACCUCACAUCUCUCCUCCCUUCAAAUCACCUGCAAAACUGCAAGGUUCAAUCAUAAAAGCAAUAUUCUCAAAAACAACAAGUAAAGAAAACCAGGCAGGGUUCUCAGCACAUGCUCCUACUAUGUUGUAUAACAAGUGAAUAACAGUUGUAUUAUAUACUAAUGAUAAUGUAGUUUUAGCACUUAAGUUUGCGUGCUUUAUCUGACUUUUAUAACUUAAUAAGGAAUGUGAAUAUUUUGUUUUACUAACUGAACUUUGAUACAAAUUAUUCAAUUUAAGCACCUAGAUCAAUUUAACUUUAGUAUCUUGAGAUUUAAGGUGAACUAUUAAAAUUACUACUUAUAACUAGUGAUCUAUGUAAAUCAGGAUUUUCUUAAUUUUGUAUAAUUUUUAAAAACCCAUGAAAAUAAAUUAGACUGAGACUAUCAUGAAAAUGCAACAAUGUCAACAGUCCGCAACUUCAUUUUUUAUCUGCUUAGAACUGCCUCAUUGUUCUCAUUAACUUUAAGUGAAUGUUUUAAAUUUGAACUUAGAAACAGAUGUACAAUAAUAAAAGUUUUCAAAAUCUAUUUUAUACAUAUACCAGAGUUCCCAAGUAUGGGGGUAGAGAUCCAGUCUGUCCCUCCCCCACCAUUGGCUCUAGCACGUAACUUUCCUCACUUCUUUCCCCUCUGAAUUGGCAGGUGAGAGGAAGGGAUGGUAGUGGGAAUCAGAUUCCUAUCUAGUUCAAGUAAAACCACCAAAAAAAGUGUGAUGACCAAUGAUCUCAUGAUAAACCUGAAUAUAAGUUUAAAUGUCACAAUUAGUCCAGGUGAUCAGAAUUUGAUUAAUCAGGAACUUUCAUCAGACUUACUCACCUUCUUCUCUUAAUUACUCAACCAAAUUUAAGCAACCAACAAAUGACUACCCAAAUGAAACACUUGGUAAAAAAUUUAAAUCCUUUUAUUACCUGCUUUAUGCUUUUAAAGGGUAUCUGAUUUAGCUAACCAUGGUGAUUAUCUCCAUACCUUUAGAAAUACUUGUAUUGUCCACCACUUUGAAGAUAAUAAUUGUCAAAGAUGUGGCAACUAAAUUUAUAAGACAAAUCCAUAAGAAAUGUGAGCUUGGAUAAAAUAUUUAAAGCAUAAUAUACUCAAGCAGGGAAGACUAGGAGAAGAAUUUGAGGAUGAGCCAGAAUUCUGGAAGAGAAAUAAGCCUCAAUAAAAUAGGUAAUAUAGUACUUCCAAGAGUUGACAAACCUAAAUUAGAUUAGAAAAUCAGUGUGUCUUCUAUUAUAUAAUCUAUCUAGACAUAAAGCAAUCAGGUGACCUAUAAAAAAGAUUUAAUAUAGAAAUUUAUCUGAUGUUCUUCACAUAUGACUAUGGGAUCUCUUAAAACAUUGCUUAGCUAAAAGCUGUAACUUCCAAAGUUCUUAUGAGUUUCAGCAUCUGAACUGCCUAGCUUCUUGUCUACUCAGAGGAAGGCUCUUUUUAUCAGUCAUACCCCACAGAAUUACAGUAUUGAACAAGAAAUUUCUGGUAGACCACGUCAUGUAGGUCCCAGAGAGAUGAUCCUGUACUAUUUAUUUACUUACUACUUAGAUUGCACAAUACAGUACUGUAAAUGUUAUUUUCUCUUUAGAUUUUCUUAAUACCAUUUUCUUUUCUCUUUAUUGUAAGAAUAGAGUAUAUAAAACAUAUACAAAAUAUGUGUUAUUAGUUACCGGUAAGGCUUCCAGUCAAAAGUAGGCUAUUAGUAGUUAAGUUUUUUGGGGAAGGCUAUUUGUAGUUAUAUUUUGGGAGAGAUAAAACUUAUACAUGGAUUUUUGACUGUGCAAGGAGUUAGCGCCCCUAACUACCCACACUGUUCAACGGUCAACUGUAUUUAUCUUCCUCUAAAAUCCUUAAAGCUUCUUGGAGGCGGGAAACUACCUCAUUCAUCUCUGUAUUCUUUUUUUUUUUUUUUUAAUUUUUAAAGAGUAUUUUAUUUAUUCAUUUGAGAGAAAGAGUUAGCGAGCACUAGUGGGGGAGAAGGGCAGAGGGAGAGAGAGAAGCAGGCUCGAAGCCAGGUCCCCACAAUCAUGACCUGAGCUGAAGGCAGACGCUUAACUGACUGAGCCACCCAGGCGCCCUUCAUCUCUGUAUUCUUAGUAGAGAUGUGCAUAAGUUCUACUUGGCUUUAGUAUCUGGCCCUAAUCUUCUAUUUGACCUUGACUUAAGCCCAUGGAAGGCUGACUGCCCCUUCAACAUUUUUUUAGGAUCCCUGAAUUUGUGCUUCAUCAGUGCUCCUGUGACACUACAGACUGUGAUAAUUGAACAGCAUAAUAAUAUCAGUACUAUAAACAAUGCAUACUGUUUAGAUUUACUGUGAUUACCUGGAUAUGCACUUUCAAAUGUAAGUAAGCAUUUAGUAAGCAAUUAGUAAGCAUACUAGAUGUAAGUUAGAAAAAAGCUACUGAUUAAAAAAAAAAAAAAAAUCACCAAGCACUACAACAGUGAAUGGCACCAA
Molecule: long non-coding RNA, 6508 nt
Organism: Mirounga angustirostris (Northern elephant seal)
Lineage: Eukaryota; Metazoa; Chordata; Mammalia; Carnivora; Phocidae
Exons: 3
Source: RefSeq, a predicted model, not a curated record